CCUCCUUGAAGCUGUUUUAAAAGAUCCGACAAGAGACUUUGGAAAACAUUUUACACGUUAUUUUUUCCAUAUACUUUAGAUAAUAAUCUUGUAAACGUGUGUUGACAUAUGUUUCAAAAGGGAAGUUGACACAGUGACGAGAUAAGUAAACCGACCUAAAAAAUGGACUUGUUUUGAUAAGUUUUUUCCACUAAGAUGAAACUAAUCGAUUCUGAUCAAACUAAUAUAUGCUGUUUUCGCAUGCGAUGAUUUUGCAGUUUUAACGAGUUAUUUAUUAUGUCGUAGCGCUGUUUUUAAACGAUGUAUUAUUUUAAGUAGAGCACUCAGCUUUGUUUUAGCCUAAUAUAGGAAAAACCUAGAAGAAACGUAGGGAGUAUGCUUAAACCGGAAUAAGCAUACCAGUGAAUGUAGCCUAUCGUUUGCGUAAAAGCAAUAUACCUGGAUUUUUAUAUUUUUUUCAGGCAGGUUAAAACAUGACAAGGCUGUGAACAUAACCCGAGGCUUAAACCCAGCCUUGUUAUUGUGGUUCAUGUGCCUGUUUCAGGGCUGCAGCUCUGCACAUUGACAGUAUUGCAUAAUUUGCAUUUAACAGGGGUGGGCUUGCUGAUUUUCAGGAAAUUGUCUACGGAAAGGGCUCAAAGGUUUGCAUCCAAGUGAAAAAGCCAUUAUUUUAAACAUAAAAGUAGUUACACGGAAUAAAUGCGUAAACAAACUAAAAUAAAAUACAAAUAAAUACGUAUAAUGAGUAUGAGCUCAUGAACUUCCUGCUUAAAGAAAGAGUAGCACGUGAAAUACACGUAUUUCAGUUGUCCGCAAGUAGAGGGCAGCCUUUCUGCUGCGAGACAGAGGUAUAAUCCAUCCAUCCAUUUUCCAAGCCGCUUAUCCUUCUGGGUCGCGGGGGGUCCUGGCUGGGAACAACCCAGGAUGGGGGGCCAGCCCAUCGCAGGGCACAUUCACACACCAUUCACUCACACAUGCAUUCCUACGGGCAAUUUAGCAAGCCCAAUUAGCCUCAGCAUAUUUUUGGACUGUGGGGGGAAACCGGAGUACCCGGAGGAAACCCCACGACGACAUGGGAAGAACAUGCACAGAGGUAUAAUUGACUGACAUAAAAUAAAAUACACCGUCUUAUUAGCCUUCUUACAAGCAUCCUGUUAAAAGUGUUUUCAUCUUACAGAAUAUUCCUAAAAAAUUUAGCAGUUUUUUUAUUUGCAUUUACUUUUAUUUAGCAGACGAUUUUGUCCAAAGUUCCUCGCGGUGACAAGAGCUAGUUCUACUGGUUUUGCAAUCAGGAAUACACCGUAGCUGUCAGUAUUCCGGCGAUCGUGAUCGGGGGAGGGGGAGUGGCUGGUUCCGUCCUUACAACCAAAAUGCACACAAAUUAUUCUUUGUAUCAACAGCUCAGCUGAAGGAGUGUUUAAUGUCAAUAAUUUUUAAGAACGGUAAUAAUGGCAUACCUGAAAAAUACAGUAGUGCAGUUCAUGUGAUUAGGUGUGGUCAAGUCAGUGUCAGCCCCUAGAUGGCAUUUCUCCGCACGUAUUUCCUUAUACACAUCAUCAUUCGAACCCCCUCCCCCAAGAAUGGUUUAUUCCUGACAAGUCCCAGCUUGGGUGGCUUGCCUCCCGGCGGCGCUAGCUCGCGAACACACUGUCAAGCCCCACCACAUACAUAUUACUCCAAGGAAGUGCCAGAUUAUUUAGCUUAAUUCCACACAUGUCACCACGUAUGUCUGUAAUAUAUCAUAUAUAGUGUCUCUCUCAUUUUACCCUCAGCUACCCCAAGGAUACAGACGUCCUGCAGACCAUGGAGGUGGUGUGGCCAUAGCCUGAUCUAUUGAGCACCACUGUACUAAUAGGCCUUUCAAAAGGCCACUGUUUGUGUUCCGAUUGCUGUUUUCACAGCAUUCACAGUUACAGUCUCCAGUGUCAGAGAGGCACUUUUUAUGUUCCUGUUUUUUCGGUACUGCUUUGCUGCAUGUGGCUGUAUCUGUGCGGAAGCUGGGCCAAUACCUGAGUUCACAAAGGCUAAUGUUUGCCCCUCAUAGGACUUAUUGAUUACAUCAGGACUUACUGAUGAGAAGAAAGGGAGCAGGAUAGCAGGAGAAAUAAGAAGGUGAAUUAUUCUUAUUGCAUUCACUGUGUCGCCUAGUCUAUACCUGAGAUGACAACUGUACAUUGUCACAGCACAUGCGAACCAGCAGGUGGCACCAGCAAGGCAGAGGUGCAGGGGAAUAUUCCGGGAAUCCCUUUACAUGCAGGAUAAGAGCAAUUUGAAACAUGGCAGCACUUUGUACUGGUCUCCACUCUGUUCUCAUAAUAGUUUGUAUACCAUUAGUCAACAAUUUCUUUGUUGCACAAAUCAAAACAGGUGAAUCUUACAGUAUUGUUUGUGCUGAAUUCUAUCAAAUCAAAAUUUACCUAUCAUGCAAUGAUUUUGAGUGACGAACAAACCUUACGCUAUACGCAUAUUUACAGUAUGCGUGCAUGUUGGAAGUGACAUCACCUAUAUGGGCAAUUUGGUAACUCCAAUUAACCACAGCAUGUUUUUGGACUGGGGGGGGGAAGCAUGGAAUCCAGGCGGAGAGUUGAACCAGAACGGAGCACAAUUCAUCUUGCCCAGUAGCACAUAACCCUGUACGUUGUGAAGAUUUCUCACCUGGGUUCCCAGUGGGCCAUGGACAAUGGGGAGCACAUCAAGAAACUUCAAAGCAAUCUUUGUGAAGUCAAAAACAUCCAUUUAGCAAGAUCUUUUGUAAUAUGACAAGCAAACAAGGCCUGACAAAUCUGGACAGCCCGAUCUCUAUCGGCAGCCCACAGGGAGGAACUCCAUGUAACUUCCUGCAAUUUGAGUUAACCGCCCCCAUUUUCUGAAACCACUAGUCCUAUUCCGGGUUGUGGAGGGUCCAGAGCCCAUCCCACAGGCUAGGGGUACUAGGCAAGGAACAACCCAGGAUAGAGCGUCAACUCAUCACGGGGCAUAUUCACACACCAGUCACUCACACAUGCACCUCCUGGUAAUUUGGCAACUCCAAUUAGCUUCAGUGGUUACGGCGCAGCACAGCAUGGGCAGGAAAAAGACAACAAUCCACUUGCAGUUCUGAGACAAAGGGGUUUACUGGGGAAAUUGGACACAGGGUAAAACUAUAAAAAAAAAAAAAGGACCAUGAAGGAGCAGAAAACAAGCAGGGAACAGUACUGCAUUAACUAAAACUAUAAAACAAGGCACAACUAAGAAAUCAAGCAGCCCAAAAAAAAAAAUCCCCACAGGGACUAGAAUUCAGCAAAACAGAGGCCCAAACACACACUAACAUUGACAACAGCAGGCUGAAGAGCAGGACAAAGACAGGCACUUAAAUACACUCAAGGCAUCAGGGCAAACAAAUGACAGGUGUAACUUGUAAUCAACUUAACCAAGGGGAACAUGAUCAAUUAGAAACAGGUGGGGUGGAUUACAAUGAACUAAUCAUGGAACAAGUGAACUCCGAACACUUAACACUGUGAAACACUGAAAACUAACACUUGGAAUAACCAAAGAACUCACAAACAUGAAAUAAGACACAGGCAAACCUAAACAGGAGCACAAGGACAAACCAUGAAAGACAAGAAAAAAACACAAAAGUUAAGGGUAAAAUAAAAUCCAAAAAUAAACAAACAGUGAGGCAGGACAUGGGCCAGCCUCAACUCAUGACCAGAGGAGUAACAACCUUGGUUGUGCACACUCAACCUGUUGAGCUAUGUGGCAGCACAAGGAACAAGUGAAACACACUGGGGACUAGUACAAUGACAGAGGGAACAGGAUGGCCAGCAACACCUGCUGGCCAAACGGGGAGGAGACAUAAAGGGCAGGGUCAGACAGAACACACCCUGAUAUCAGUAUGCUUUUGGACUGUGGGGGGAAACCAGGAACCCUGGUUAUAUAAGUGUGAGGUGACAGUGAUAACCACUGUACCACUGUGCCCCCUCAGAAAAGUUUUAUAAAGUUUAUUAUUCCAGAUAUUAAAUGGGGCUCAAACUGUGACGCAGUAUUGGGGUCAAGACCACCUAACCUGAGACCAAGUCAAGACCAAGAAGGGAGGGGAGACCAAGCCCCAAAUCAAGACCAAAUCAAUGCGACCAUUUUCAAGACCAUUGCUGUAAUCAUAAUAAUUAUGUGGGUUGAUAUUUACAGUAGUUCUCUGUUAAAAAGAAAAGCCAUAUUUAGAAAUGUUAGUAUUAUACAAAUAGAUGUACAUUAUAGUACUUUUACAACAUAGUUCCAUGUUGCUGACCUUGAAGGCUCAAUACUGGGCACAGAAUGAAAAGAAACAUAAAAACACAUUACUGCUGCUAAGCUACGACUCCACAGUCACUGAUUGGCAAAUUAUACAAGAAUUAUUAACUUGUUUGAUUAGUAUAUGAUCUGUAAUAAAAUGAAGCAUUAGUCUUUUAGUCAUAUUGAUCAAAUUUAUUUCAAAUUUAAAGGACAUUAAUCACUUAAUGAUCAAAAUGAUUUGACACUUGGUGGGUGUGUUGUUGACUUACAACGUGACAAAAUGUUCAAUAACAAAGAACUUUGAAUAAACAAACAAACAGUGGUCUGUGCAGUAGCAAGGCAAACAGUGAAAACCACCAAAUUUAAAUCAGUGUUUGGCUGCAUUUUAGAAAGAUGAGAGAUUGCAACAUUUUGUGAUCCAAACGUGCUCUGUGAGGUCUCAUUAUGAUGCCUCCUCGACUGAGAACCUGCUCUACUGGUGCUGAAGUGGCAAGUACUGACAGCACCUUCAGCACCAACAUGUGGAGAUGUGGGCAUUUAUCAUGGUGUUUUGCACAGAAGUGAAAAGCACUGUCAACAUCAGAGUCCUGGAUGUCCUCAAAGUAUUUGCAGAUCUGUGUUGCAGUACUUAAAUCUUGGCCUGAGCUGCGCUUCUUGUAGGCCUUGUAGCGGACCAGAAGGUGUGGAUAUUUGACAGGUGGUGAGUUACUGGACGUAUCCACAUUAGUGACCCCUGAGGCUGUUGUGUCUCCUACACCAUCCAUGAUGUUCUCCACCUUCAAGAUCAAAGUAUCUGAAAAACACAAAACAAACAACAGACACAGAGCUAUGCAAAUUUAAAGAGAGUUACUUAGUUUUCAAAAUUGAGAAGAAUUAUUGAAUAAAGAUUGAUACUAA
Brienomyrus brachyistius is the source of this 5148-nucleotide long non-coding RNA. RefSeq lists it as uncharacterized. The record is from RefSeq and is a predicted model, not a curated record. The transcript is spliced from 2 exons. NCBI's taxonomy places the organism in Eukaryota, Metazoa, Chordata, Actinopteri, Osteoglossiformes, Mormyridae.